This 769-nucleotide long non-coding RNA is filed under the name Amborella trichopoda. RNAcentral describes it as "long non-coding RNA (ATRI_LNC000046)". Lineage: Eukaryota; Viridiplantae; Streptophyta; Magnoliopsida; Amborellales; Amborellaceae. The record is from RNAcentral.
AAGCCUUAAACCUAUUCUGCAAGUUCAAGAAGACAGAGGCCCACAAAUGAAGAAGAAUCAAAACCCUGAGCCCAGCCAUAACCAAUCCAAUAUGAGAAGACAAAACCACUGGUAUAAACCCAAGCAGAGCCCAUAGCUGCAAUUUCCAAAUAGUUCCGAGAAAACCCUAGCCUCAAAGAGAGCAGUAAGUUUUUCACCCACCGGUGAUUUUGAAGAGGAAGAGAAACCCCUUACUCUCUCUCAAGACGGGACGGCCAUUGACGUCUCUCUCUCCACACUUCUCUCUAAUAGUGUUUCCUCUGUUCACUCCCUCAACCCAAUCUACAAUUUCCUCUCCUCCACAUUACCCCAUUCUGAUUCAAUCUUGAAUUGAAUUUUGCCCCUCCCUCUCUCUGUAGGGUUAGAAAAUCUGACAAAAUGAGCUCAUCACUUGCAUAGAAAACCACCAAUAAUCCUAGUUUAAUUGAUAUGCCCUUUUCCUGGAAGGCAUCACAUUCCCAUACAUCAUUCUCAUAGACACAAUGUAGCAGAUAAUGCAAUGAUAGGUUAGAACCUCAUUCCCAAUUCUUCAUGUGGUCACAACAUUCAGCCAAAUGGUGCCCAAUUCUUCAGGUGGUCACAACAUUCAGCUCCAGCUCCACCAUAUAGUGCCCAAUUCUUCAGUUGGUCACAACAUUCGUUCCACCAUAUGUGAAGAACAGUUUAGAUUCUUCCAAGAACGCACCUCUCAAUUGAGACCUAAAAAGUGGCUCUCUCUUUCGCUUCCAAG